CCCUUAGAUGUUCUGGGCCGCACGCGCGCUACACUGAAGGGAUCAGCGUGUUUUCCCUUUCCGAGAGGAACGGGCAACCCGCUGAACCCCCUUCGUGGUAGGGAUCGGAGCUUGCAAUUGUUCUCCGUGAACCAGGAAUUCCCAGUAAGCGCAAGUCAUAAGCUUGCGUUGAUUACGUCCCUGCCCUUUGUACACACCGCCCGUCGCUACUACCGAUUGAACGUUUUAGUGAGGUAUUUGGACUGGGCCUUGGGAGGUUUCGGCCUCCCUUGUUGCUCGGAAAGACUCCCAAACUUGAGCGUUUAGAGGAAGUAAAAGUCGUAACA
This 326-nucleotide ribosomal RNA is filed under the name uncultured eukaryote. RNAcentral's name for it is "partial 18S ribosomal RNA". It matches the Rfam family "Eukaryotic small subunit ribosomal RNA", at positions 1470 to 1796 of the family's 1831-position model. The record is from RNAcentral.